ACAGACAUAUAUGUAUUUAUUCAUACAAAUAUAUAUAAUAUAAUAUAAUAUAAUAUAAUAUAAUAUACGUAUAUAACAAUUGCAUAUUACCUGGUAUUGUUUUUGUCUGUCUGUACAAGUUUAAUCAGUCUUCAAAAUGCACGUCAUCGAUAAGAAAGUGUUUAAAACAUACAAAACGGAGAGAAAAGUCAGGCCGAGGAACAGCUCGUACAGCAGAUUCGCUUCACAGCAUCGUCUGGUUCCUGCGACACGGUUUUCCUGCACCCCGAUCUCUCACAGGUUCACGAAUAAACCGAAUAAAAACCAAACGAAACGAGUUAUUCGAAUUAUUCCGAUUUGGACCAGGCUUCGUGAGUCACUUGACUACAGAGUCGAUUCUUUUGAACGAAUUUUUAAAACGAGCGUUUUGAUCCGUUUGAUUGUGAAUUUAAAACCUGGAAACAACUCCAACCGCAGGGACACUUCGAUUUUUUGGAAUAAGAAUAAGCCGUGGAAGUAAAACGACUCCUUUGCGAAUUGAUUCGAUUCAUUUGAUUCACUUUAGAGGGACGAUUCAGUUAAAAAUUACAGCAACGCAAUCACCUUCGCGUCCGUGCGAGUUCGAUGUUUGCUUCUUUAGUUAUGAAGUUAAAAUAAGUAACAGAACUAACCGAAGUUAAUCAAAAUCUCUCUCUCUCUCUCUCUCUCUCUCACACACACACACACACACACACACACACUAAUUUUCAUAUACUUGCUCGAGAUGACAUUAAGCUCAGUGACAUUUUAUUUUUAAGAGCAUAAUAGCAUCAUAAGAGCAUAAUUUUAAGGGCAUAAUGUUAACAUCUGUAACUUUUCAGUUAGUAUCUGUACACAUUUUGAAGCCUUGAGUGAUGAAAAUCAACUGCAGGAUUAGCAUGAACUCGACUCCAGCACUCGCGGCUAACUGGCUAACUAGCGAGAAGUAACAUUAGCCUAAUCUUUAUGUAGCAGAGCAAAAUUAGGUAACUUCAUAUCAGCUACAAAUAUACUUAUGUAAGAAUUGAAUUUCAUUCAAACAUUUCCUUCCCAAGAAAGCUCAUUUGUCUUACUGAUUAAAAGAAGCUAACUUCAGCCACUCAUACAACGUCAGUUAGCAUAAAUUUCAUCAUCAGGCUAGCACUGGCUAUCAAGCCAGACCACAUGUAUUAUAGAUGAAGUUAAACUCUUGUAGUUGCGUCCGAUUUCUUUCACUUCAAACUUUUUCUGCCUGCUGAUACGCCUCACUACGUCAACUUGGCUCACCCACAAGCUAAACCCAGCAACUGAGCUGUUACAGAUGACGUUAGCUAACGUUAGCGUCGUAACUCUAACACAAAACCAAAGAAGCUCGGCUUGUCUCGGCUAAUCGGUUAGAAAACGUUGCACGCGCUUGAUUUUUCACUGAACUGUUCCUUUAAAGAGUCGUUUAAAGAGUCAUUUAAAGAGUCGAUUCCUUCAUAAAUUGUGUGUCAAUCUCAGUGAAUGAAUGAUUGUCAGUAGUGGAGAAGAUUACGGCCGGUUUUGAUCGGACGAGACGCUCGGUUUCGGAAUAUACAAUAAAAUCGAACGGGAUUACAUUCGGGAAAACUCUUCAAGAUCACAAACUAGAAAAUUUGCAAAUAAUAAAAUAGCGUUAUGUUACAUGACCACCACUUUAUAUAACUUUAUUCAUUUAUUUCAUAUAUCUUCUGUGUGUGUACGACAUUCAUAUGCUCAUAAAUAUCAACGUUUUUGUAGAACUGUAACAUCGCGUCGUGAACAAAUCUGUAAAUGUAGCUAAUCACACUCCGUCAACUUCAGCAAAUUCGCGUCGAUAUUUAAACUAUAUUCCUCUGUAAAUCAGGUUCAUUUUAUGUUUCACGUAGAGCCAAAAUGCUACCUAACAAAGCACAACGCUAGCAAUCAAGCCAGCAGUCAUGCUAAACUGCUAACCUUCCUGCUCUGCAGGCUAACAUUUGUUGUUAACAAUAGAAGCAUUUUUGUCCCAACUAUUUUUCUUCUUCUCGCGUUACGUGCCAUUAACAGUACCUUUAAGUUUGUACAGAAUGUCCAUGACUGCUAACACGGCUAACAUUAAAAUGUUAACUAGCAAAAGAGUGGGAAAGCAUGUAGCUAGUUAGCAGAAAUGCUAGAAGUAAUGCUAAAUGUUCUGCUAGCUUGUUUUUAUGUUAGGUAACAAAAAAAAAUAUUAUAUAUUUCCUCCAGACUGUGAUUAUGUCGAUGAACUGUUAUGUAUUUGUACAAAAUGUCCAUAAAUGCUAACACAUCUGGGCUAAAGCUAGUAUUCAUCCUUGCAGUUAUUUUUCAUGCUCUGCUAGCUUUUGGUUGUUUGUUUUUCUGUUAGCGAAAGUAGCAUUUUUGUCCCAACUGUGCCAUGUACCUUUAUUUUAUUUGCACAGAAUGUUCAGAAAUGCUAAAAUAAUGAACUAGCGUAAAGUGUGAAAGCGUACAGUUAGCUAGCAGUUAUCGUCUGCUGGCUUGUUUUCAUGAGCUAUUUUAGCAUUUUUGCUCCAUACUGUAACGUUA
Ictalurus punctatus (channel catfish) is the source of this 2526-nucleotide long non-coding RNA. NCBI's taxonomy places the organism in Eukaryota, Metazoa, Chordata, Actinopteri, Siluriformes, Ictaluridae. The record is from Ensembl.